Transfer RNA from Phytophthora infestans T30-4, 71 nucleotides. It matches the Rfam family "tRNA". Rfam says of the family: Transfer RNA (tRNA) molecules are approximately 80 nucleotides in length. Their secondary structure includes four short double-helical elements and three loops (D, anti-codon, and T loops). The record is from Rfam. NCBI's taxonomy places the organism in Eukaryota, Oomycota, Peronosporomycetes, Peronosporales, Peronosporaceae.
GAUCUUGUGGUCUAGUGGUAUGAUUCUCGCUUAGGGUGCGAGAGAUCCGGAUUCGAUCUUCGGCAAGGCCC